RNAcentral lists this ribosomal RNA (867 nucleotides) under Priestia megaterium. RNAcentral describes it as "bacterial SSU rRNA". It matches the Rfam family "Bacterial small subunit ribosomal RNA", at positions 44 to 906 of the family's 1533-position model. The record is from RNAcentral. Lineage: Bacteria; Bacillati; Bacillota; Bacilli; Caryophanales; Bacillaceae.
AUGCUAUACAUGCAGUCGAGCGACUGAUUAGAAGCUUGCUUCUAUGACGUUAGCGGCGGACGGGUGAGUAACACGUGGGCAACCUGCCUGUAAGACUGGGAUAACUUCGGGAAACCGAAGCUAAUACCGGAUAGGAUCUUCUCCUUCAUGGGAGAUGAUUGAAAGAUGGUUUCGGCUAUCACUUACAGAUGGGCCCGCGGUGCAUUAGCUAGUUGGUGAGGUAACGGCUCACCAAGGCAACGAUGCAUAGCCGACCUGAGAGGGUGAUCGGCCACACUGGGACUGAGACACGGCCCAGACUCCUACGGGAGGCAGCAGUAGGGAAUCUUCCGCAAUGGACGAAAGUCUGACGGAGCAACGCCGCGUGAGUGAUGAAGGCUUUCGGGUCGUAAAACUCUGUUGUUAGGGAAGAACAAGUACRAGAGUAACUGCUYGUACCUUGACGGUACCUAACCAGAAAGCCACGGCUAACUACGUGCCAGCAGCCGCGGUAAUACGUAGGUGGCAAGCGUUAUCCGGAAUUAUUGGGCGUAAAGCGCGCGCAGGCGGUUUCUUAAGUCUGAUGUGAAAGCCCACGGCUCAACCGUGGAGGGUCAUUGGAAACUGGGGAACUUGAGUGCAGAAGAGAAAAGCGGAAUUCCACGUGUAGCGGUGAAAUGCGUAGAGAUGUGGAGGAACACCAGUGGCGAAGGCGGCUUUUUGGUCUGUAACUGACGCUGAGGCGCGAAAGCGUGGGGGAGCAAACAGAUAGAUACCCUGUAGUCCACGCCGUAAACGAUGAGUGCUAGUGUAGAGGGAUUCCGCCUUUAGUGCUGCAGCUACGCAUUAGCACUCGCUGGGGAGUACGGUCGCAGACUGAACUCAGAA